RNAcentral lists this long non-coding RNA (654 nucleotides) under Pan paniscus (pygmy chimpanzee). RNAcentral describes it as "lncRNA (ENSPPAG00000045291.1)". The record is from RNAcentral. Lineage: Eukaryota; Metazoa; Chordata; Mammalia; Primates; Hominidae.
CGAGUUCAAUACUGAAAAGACUCUUAGAGUACUCUCUUUGAAGUUAGGAAAUAAUGACUGGAAUAUAAUAGUAUGCAAUUAGCAGCUUACUUCCUAUAUUUUUUUCUUCUUAGUGGAAGAGAGGCCAUGAUCAAUUUAGUAUCUUGUCCUAGAUCAGAGAAAGUACUACACCAUAACUUUAAGAAUACUCUGGGCCUGGCGCGGUGGCUCAUGCCUGUAAUCCCAGCACUUUGGGAGGCCGAGGCGGGCAGACACUAGAGGUCAGGAGUUCGAGACCAGCCUGGCCAACAUGGUGAAACCCCAUCUCUACAAAAAAAUACAGAAAACUAGCUGAGCUUGGCAGCAGGCACCUGUAAUCCUAGCUACCUGGGAGGCUGAGGCAGGAGAAUUUCUUGAGCCCUGGAGACAGAGGUUGCAGUAAGCUGAGAUCACGCCAUUGCACUCUAGCCUGGGUAACAAAGCAAGACCCCGUCUUGGAAAAAAAAAAGAAAAGAAAAGAAAAGAAAAAAAAGAAAUAGAAUACUCUGGUGACACUGAAAGCAUUAAUAGUGUACUACCAAAGUCUUGCCAUUUUCUCUGCAAUUUCUACUAGAGAGAAUCUUAGCCACAUAACCUGCUCUGUUUGUGAAUGCCAGUUUUCUAAUUGAACAUCAG